CCUUCGAUAGCUCAGUUGGUAGAGCGGUAGACUGUAGUUGUACAAUCAUAUAAACAAAUGGAUAUCCAUAGGUCGCUGGUUCAAAUCCGGCUCGAAGGA
This 99-nucleotide transfer RNA is filed under the name Ooceraea biroi (clonal raider ant). It matches the Rfam family "tRNA". From Rfam's summary of the family: Transfer RNA (tRNA) molecules are approximately 80 nucleotides in length. Lineage: Eukaryota; Metazoa; Arthropoda; Insecta; Hymenoptera; Formicidae. The record is from Rfam by way of RNAcentral.